UACGGAGGGUGCAAGCGUUAUCCGGAUUUACUGGGUUUAAAGGGUGCGUAGGUGGCGUCGUAAGUCGGGUGUGAAAUUUCGGAGCUCAACUCCGAAACUGCAUUCGAUACUGCGGUGCUUGAGGACUGGAGAGGAGACUGGAAUUUACGGUGUAGCAGUGAAAUGCGUAGAGAUCAUGAGGAAGACCAGUGGCGAAGGCGGGUCUCUGGACAGUUCCUGACACUGAGGCACGAAGGCCAGGGGAGCAAACGGG
This 253-nucleotide ribosomal RNA is filed under the name uncultured bacterium. RNAcentral describes it as "partial 16S ribosomal RNA". It matches the Rfam family "Bacterial small subunit ribosomal RNA", at positions 524 to 776 of the family's 1533-position model. The record is from RNAcentral.